Molecule: ribosomal RNA, 1303 nt
Filed under: Blastococcus sp. KAR11
Lineage: Bacteria; Bacillati; Actinomycetota; Actinomycetes; Geodermatophilales; Geodermatophilaceae
Description: bacterial SSU rRNA
Rfam family: Bacterial small subunit ribosomal RNA
Source: RNAcentral
CUUAACACAUGCAAGUCGAACGAUGACCCGGAGCUUGCUCUGGUGAUUAGUGGCGAACGGGUGAGUAACACGUGGGCAACCUGCCCCUAGCUCUGGGAUAACUGCGGGAAACUGUAGCUAAUACCGGAUGUGACAUGAGACUGCAUGGUCUUCGUGUGGAAAGAUUUAUCGGCUAGGGAUGGGCCCGCGGUCUAUCAGCUUGUUGGUGGGGUAAUGGCUCACCAAGGCGACGACGGAUAACCGGCCUGAGAGGGCGACCGGUCACACUGGGACUGAGACACGGCCCAGACUCCUACGGGAGGCAGCAGUGGGGAAUAUUGCACAAUGGGCGCAAGCCUGAUGCAGCGACGCCGCGUGAGGGAUGACGGCCUUCGGGUUGUAAACCUCUUUCAGUAGGGACGAAGCGAAAGUGACGGUACCUGCAGAAGAAGCGCCGGCCAACUACGUGCCAGCAGCCGCGGUAAUACGUAGGGCGCAAGCGUUGUCCGGAAUUAUUGGGCGUAAAGAGCUCGUAGGCGGUUUGUUACGUCGGCUGUGAAAUCCCGAGGCUUAACCUCGGGCUUGCAGUCGAUACGGGCAGACUAGAGUGGAGCAGGGGAGACUGGAAUUCCUGGUGUAGCGGUGAAAUGCGCAGAUAUCAGGAGGAACACCGAUGGCGAAGGCAGGUCUCUGGGCUUUAACUGACGCUGAGGAGCGAAAGCGUGGGUAGCGAACAGGAUUAGAUACCCUGGUAGUCCACGCCGUAAACGGUGGGCGCUAGGUGUGGGGACCAUUCCACGGUCUCCGUGCCGCAGCUAACGCAUUAAGCGCCCCGCCUGGGGAGUACGGCCGCAAGGCUAAAACUCAAAGGAAUUGACGGGGGCCCGCACAAGCGGCGGAGUAUGUUGCUUAAUUCGAUGNMACGCGAAGAACCUUACCAAGGCUUGACAUAUACCGAAAACUCGUAGAGAUACGGGGUCCGUAAGGGCGGUAUACAGGUGGUGCAUGGUUGUCGUCAGCUCGUGUCGUGAGAUGUUGGGUUAAGUCCCGCAACGAGCGCAACCCUCGUUCUAUGUUGCCAGCACGUUAUGGUGGGGACUCAUAGGAGACCGCCGGGGUCAACUCGGAGGAAGGUGGGGAUGACGUCAAAUCAUCAUGCCCCUUAUGUCUUGGGCUGCAAACAUACUACAAUGGCCGGUACAAAGGGCUGCGAUACCGCAAGGUGGAGCGAAUCCCAAAAAGCCGGUCUCAGUUCGGAUUGGGGUCUGCAACUCGACCCCAUGAAGUCGGAGUCGCUAGUAAUCGCAGAUCAGCAACGCUGCGG